Hemicordylus capensis (graceful crag lizard) is the source of this 1182-nucleotide long non-coding RNA. RefSeq lists it as uncharacterized. The transcript has 2 exons. NCBI's taxonomy places the organism in Eukaryota, Metazoa, Chordata, Lepidosauria, Squamata, Cordylidae. The record is from RefSeq and is a predicted model, not a curated record.
UUUGAACUUUUAUAGUUCUCAAUAAUCAGAUCGAUAAUUCAAAAAUGACAUCAUGGCCAAGAGGACCAGAAGAUCUUUCUAAGAUUUAAAUUUACUAUGUGUGGUAAUUAUUCAGUAAUUGGGGUUUAGGUUAGCCAGACCAUCACCGCCUCCUAGAUCAGACCCAAGAUCCGUCAGGUCCACCCUCUCCUUCCCCCCAGCUGUUUCCAGGAAGUCCACAAGCCAGGCAUGAAGGAAACAGCUCUCUACUCUUUGGCCCUAGCAAAAAGUGUUCCAGGUACACUGCCUCUGAACCUGGAGGCUCUUUAACUGCUAUGGGGCAGAGCCAAUGAAAGGGAACUGGACUUGCCUUUCAAAGAUGAACCGCAGGCCGAUGAGGAGAAGGGCACCGGGGAGGCUGACCAGGAGGUGCUGGGGCUGAGGGUAGCGGGUCUCCUCCGUCUCUUUCAUGUCCUCCCAGGUGAUCCCUGGAGGCAGCCAGUAUUCAUGCUGCCAAAGCCAAGCAGUCAACGGCAGUGUCAUCCUAGGGAGAAAAGAGAAGGCGGUGAGAUAAGGAAGCCUCUCCGGCAAAUGGACACGGAGAAAUGAAAGCUGGAAGUUUAGGGAUGAGCUUUUAAGGAACACAGAUGGAUCCAAGGCAUUGGCGCGUUUCCAGGAGCUUACACAACAGUCCCGAAGUGCCAAAACUGACAUCAAAAGGCAGCAAUGGUGGCUUCAGCAGGACCUGGAAAUGCUGAGAAGGUUCUCCUGUGAAUUUUCAGCCUUUCCCCUCUAGAAUGUACCACGGACAGACCUGCAUAACAUCGUAGGAUCAUUUUGUUGGAAAGUUAAAGGACUUUGCGCUGUCUCUUUGCCUCAGACAGUGGAGGACAGACUAGUAAGUCAGAGGGCUAGAGGGUCAAGACAUUGGUCAUCCCUUCUCCACUGCUCUGAUGCUAUCCCUUUGAAAUGUAGGUUGCUAAUCUCAGGGACUCAACUUCCUCCUUCUUCCUCUCUCUCUUGCUAUCUGCCCGCCUACCUUGCAACAUGGCAAGUUCCUCUCCCUGCACCAAAUGUGCAGAGAGGAUGCAGAAUCCAUCUGCAUCUAGAUAGAUAGAUAGAUUAGAGAUCCUAAAUCCUCACUUUCCUAUCUAGAAUGGAGUUCCUUAAUAAAUGCCUUUUAUAUUGAUUUGAAACUAUGAA